GCCGGAAUAGCUCAGUUGGUAGAGCANAGGACUGAAAAUCCUCGUGU
This 47-nucleotide transfer RNA is filed under the name Pachyneuropsis miyagii. RNAcentral's name for it is "partial tRNA-Phe". It matches the Rfam family "tRNA", at positions 1 to 46 of the family's 71-position model. Rfam says of the family: Transfer RNA (tRNA) molecules are approximately 80 nucleotides in length. Their secondary structure includes four short double-helical elements and three loops (D, anti-codon, and T loops). The record is from RNAcentral. Lineage: Eukaryota; Viridiplantae; Streptophyta; Bryopsida; Pottiales; Pottiaceae.